This 465-nucleotide ribosomal RNA is filed under the name uncultured bacterium. RNAcentral describes it as "partial 16S ribosomal RNA". It matches the Rfam family "Bacterial small subunit ribosomal RNA", at positions 28 to 507 of the family's 1533-position model. The record is from RNAcentral.
GACGAACGCUGGCGGCGUGCUUAACACAUGCAAGUCGAACGGAAAGGUCCCCUUGUGGGGUACCUGAGUGGCGAACGGGUGAGUAACACGAGAGUAACCUACCCUUGACUUUGGGAUAACUUCAGGAAACUGGGGCUAAUACCGGAUAGGAGCUCCUGCUGCACGGUGGGGUUUGGAAAGUUUCGGCGGUUGGGGUGGGACUUGUGGCUUAUCGGCUUGUUGGUGGGGUAGUGGGUCACCAAGGCUUUGACGGGUAGCCGGCCUGAGAGGGUGACCGGCCACAAGGGGACUGAGAUAGGGCCCAGACUCCUACGGGAGGCAGCAGGGGGGAAUAUUGCACAAUGGGCGGAAGCCUGAUGCAGCAACGCCGCGUGCGGGAUGACGGCCUUCGGGUUGUAAACCGCUUUCGCCUGUGACGAAGCGUGAGUGACGGUAAUGGGUAAAGAAGCACCGGCUAACUACGUG